UACGUAGGGUGCGAGCGUUAAUCGGAAUUACUGGGCGUAAAGCGUGCGCAGGCGGUCUCGCAAGUCCGAUGUGAAAUCCCCGGGCUUAACCUGGGAAUUGCGCUUGAAACUAGCGGGCUUGAGUGUGGCAGAGGGGGGUGGAAUUCCACGUGUAGCAGUGAAAUGCGUAGAGAUGUGGAGGAACACCGAUGGCGAAGGCAGCCCCCUGGGUCAACACUGACGCUCAUGCACGAAAGCGUGGGGAGCAAACAGG
This 253-nucleotide ribosomal RNA is filed under the name uncultured bacterium. RNAcentral's name for it is "partial 16S ribosomal RNA". It matches the Rfam family "Bacterial small subunit ribosomal RNA", at positions 524 to 776 of the family's 1533-position model. The record is from RNAcentral.